AUUGAACGCUGGCGGCAUGCCUUACACAUGCAAGUCGAACGGCAGCACGGGAGCAAUCCUGGUGGCGAGUGGCGAACGGGUGAGUAAUAUAUCGGAACGUGCCCAGUCGUGGGGAUAACGUAGAGAAAUUUACGCUAAUACCGCAUACGAUCUAAGGAUGAAAGCGGGGGAUUCGCAAGAACCUCGCGCGAUUGGAGCGGCUGAUAUCAGAUUAGGUUGUUGGUGAGGUAAAAGCUCACCAAGCCGACGAUCUGUAGCUGGUUUGAGAGAACGACCAGCCACACUGGGACUGAGACACGGCCCAGACUCCUACGGGAGGCAGCAGUGGGGAAUAUUGGACAAUGGGCGAAAGCCUGAUCCAGCCAUGCCGCGUGUGUGAAGAAGGUCUUCGGAUUGUAAAGCACUUUAAGUUUGGGAGGAAGGGCAGUUACCUAAUACGUGAUUGUUUGACGUUACCGACAGAAUAAGCACCGGCUAACUCU
RNAcentral lists this ribosomal RNA (482 nucleotides) under uncultured bacterium. RNAcentral's name for it is "bacterial SSU rRNA". It matches the Rfam family "Bacterial small subunit ribosomal RNA", at positions 30 to 504 of the family's 1533-position model. The record is from RNAcentral.